GGCCGUGUAGCUCAGCUGGUAGAGCAUGCGCGCACAAAGCGUAGGCGUCCAUGAGUGGGUUCGAAUCCCAUCGAGACUA
RNAcentral lists this transfer RNA (79 nucleotides) under Echinostoma caproni. It matches the Rfam family "tRNA". Rfam says of the family: Transfer RNA (tRNA) molecules are approximately 80 nucleotides in length. Their secondary structure includes four short double-helical elements and three loops (D, anti-codon, and T loops). The record is from Rfam by way of RNAcentral. Lineage: Eukaryota; Metazoa; Platyhelminthes; Trematoda; Plagiorchiida; Echinostomatidae.